UUUGAACUUAGAAAUGUUGUUUUUCGAUGGAGACAAGUCAUAUUUGGCAUUAUAGAGUUGCGGACUCGAAAAUGACCGAAUUUUGACUUAGAACGAAGAAACGAGUGUUGAACGUUCACGAACGUUUAUUGUUUUCGUUAAAAAUGAACAUGUUAGUUCCUAGGGAGCACAAUAUAGAUCUAGAAGGGGGGUUGAAUAGAUCCUUUUUAAUUUCAUAUACUUUUCUCAUUUAUUUUGUUUUGCUCAUGAAUUAGCAUAUGACAAACAUAAGAAUCUUUUCAAGUACAGCGGAAUAAGUAAAAGAUCCCCUUCAUUGAUAUAUUCGUGAUCAGACAUACAUUGUUCAUAGAGUUAAUUCAGUAGUAAGCAGUUAAAACAUACAUAGCAGUUAUAGCAGUUAAUGUACAUAAUGUAAAUGACAUAAAGUAAAAGAUACAAGGGGUUUUAAGUGGUUCAGAGACUCAAGCUCCUAAUUCACUCUUCUGCUUUUAACUAGCAAGAUUUCCACUAAGGAAGGGCAGCACCCUGAAUCACUAAGAUUCCUUCAAGGCCAGCAACCUUGGGACUUCUGUGGCGACCCCAAAUCCGGAUACUUGAAACCCGAACUUGGUUCUCCACGAUACCAUUUCUUUAAGCUGAAUAAUACUAAAUAAUAAUAAUAAUAUAAUUCGAACUUAAUUUACAUACAUCAAAGUUUACUUUCCCAGGUACGUGACCUUCAAAUACAUUCCUUACAAUACCUGACAAUAGAUUCCAUUGUCUUACUAACUAUAACCAUUAACUCAUACUAAAUCUCAUUCGAACAGCUUUUCUUUUCCCUUGUUCGUGCCUGAGCCUUCAGGUCGAUCGUAGGUAACUGAAAACAUUUAGUUUAAGCAAGGAUGAGCAUUUGAGUGCCCAGCAAGUAAUAGCAAUUAUAUAUAUAAGCUGAAAGAAUAUAAGUAUUCUCUUUACAUAACACUUCUACAACGAAUCGAAA
Molecule: long non-coding RNA, 979 nt
Filed under: Panax ginseng (ginseng)
Lineage: Eukaryota; Viridiplantae; Streptophyta; Magnoliopsida; Apiales; Araliaceae
Description: long non-coding RNA (PGIN_LNC001930)
Source: RNAcentral